UGGGGAAUUUUGGACAAUGGGCGAAAGCCUGAUCCAGCAAUGCCGCGUGUGUGAAGAAGGCCUUCGGGUUGUAAAGCACUUUUGUCCGGAAAGAAAUCCUUGGCUCUAAUACAGUCGGGGGAUGACGGUACCGGAAGAAUAAGCACCGGCUAACUACGUGCCAGCAGCCGCGGUAAUACGUAGGGUGCAAGCGUUAAUCGGAAUUACUGGGCGUAAAGCGUGCGCAGGCGGUUUGCUAAGACCGAUGUGAAAUCCCCGGGCUCAACCUGGGAACUGCAUUGGUGACUGGCAGGCUAGAGUAUGGCAGAGGGGGGUAGAAUUCCACGUGUGAGCAGUGAAAUGCGUAGAGAUGUGGAGGAAUACCGAUGGCGAAGGCAGCCCCCUGGGCAAUACUGACGCUCAUGCACGAAAGCGUGGGGAGCAAACAGGAUU
This 432-nucleotide ribosomal RNA is filed under the name uncultured bacterium. RNAcentral describes it as "partial 16S ribosomal RNA". It matches the Rfam family "Bacterial small subunit ribosomal RNA", at positions 355 to 779 of the family's 1533-position model. The record is from RNAcentral.